AGCCUGAACGCUGGCGGCGUGGCUAAGACAUGCAAGUCGCACGGUGUAGCAAUACACAGUGGCGAACGGGUGAGUAAUGAAUCGCUAACUGUACCCCGGACUCUGGGAUAGCUACCCGAAAGGGUAGGUAAUACCAGAUGAGACCACGAUCAGGCAUCUGAUUGUGCUCAAAGGUCCGCCGGUCUGGGAGCAGGCGAUUUCGAUCAGCUAGUUGGUGAGGUAACGGCUCACCAAGGCGACGACGCGUAGCCGGACUGAGAGGUUGGCCGGCCACAUUGGGACUGAGCACUGCCCAGACUCCUACGGGGGCUGCAGUAACGAAUCUU
Molecule: ribosomal RNA, 326 nt
Filed under: uncultured soil bacterium
Lineage: Bacteria
Description: bacterial SSU rRNA
Rfam family: Bacterial small subunit ribosomal RNA
Source: RNAcentral